Molecule: ribosomal RNA, 500 nt
Filed under: uncultured bacterium
Lineage: Bacteria
Description: partial 16S ribosomal RNA
Rfam family: Bacterial small subunit ribosomal RNA
Source: RNAcentral
AUUGAACGCUGGCGGAAUGCUUUACACAUGCAAGUCGAACGAUGAACCUUAGCUUGCUAGGGGGAUUAGUGGCGAACGGGUGAGUAACAUAUCGGAACGUACCUAGUAAUGGGGGAUAACUAGUCGAAAGAUUAGCUAAUACCGCAUACGCCCUGAGGGGGAAAGUAGGGGAUCUUCGGACCUCACGUUAUUAGAGCGGCCGAUAUCUGAUUAGCUAGUUGGUGGGGUAAAGGCCUACCAAGGCGACGAUCAGUAGCUGGUCUGAGAGGACGACCAGCCACACUGGAACUGAGACACGGUCCAGACUCCUACGGGAGGCAGCAGUGGGGAAUUUUGGACAAUGGGGGCAACCCUGAUCCAGCCAUUCCGCGUGAGUGAAGAAGGCCUUCGGGUUGUAAAGCUCUUUCGCAAGGGAAGAAAACUUACAUUCUAAUAAAGUGUGAGGCUGACGGUACCUUGAUAAGAAGCACCGGCUAACUACGUGCCAGCAGCCGCGGUAA